AAAAACGGUGAAGGACAUGAGAAGUUUCCUCGGUCAUGCUGGGUUCUACAGAAGAUUUAUUAAAGACUUCUCCAAGAUAGCCAGACCGUUAACCAGACUAUUGUGCAAGGAGACCGAGUUUGAAUUUGAUGAGGACUGCCUCAAAUCCUUUCACACCAUCAAGGACGCCAGCCGGACGUUGGAUGAAGCUCAAGGAAGAUAUGCAACAAUUGAGAAGGAGCUUCUAGUUGUUGUAUUCGCAUUUGAGAUGUUCAGAAGCUAUUUGGUUGGAUCAAAGGUAACUGUCUAUACAGACCAUGCAGCUUUGAGGCAUCUGUAUGCCAAGAAGGAUACUAAACCAAGACUGUUAAGAUGGAUACUCCUGUUGCAAGAGUUUGACAUGGAAAUAGUAGACAAGAAAGGCAUCUAAAAUGGUGCAGCUGACCAUCUGUCAAGGAUGAGAAUCGAAGAACCCAUUCCGAUAGACGAUUCAAUGCUAGAAGAGCAGCUCAUGGUUGUAGAAUUCUUCGGUAGGAGCUACAGCGGGAAAGAGUUCCACCAACUGAACGAUGUUGAAGGAAGAUCUCCAAGGUAUGCUGAUCACGUCAAUUACUUGGCGUGCAGAGUAGAGCCUCCCAACCUGACCAGUUAUGAAAGGAAGAAUUUUUUCCGAGACAUACACCAUUACUACUGGGAUGAGCCUUAUCUUUACACUCUCUAUAAAGAUAAGAUCUACAGGAGAUGCGUCUCAGAAGAUGAAGUAGAAGGUAUCCUGCUGCAUUGCCAUGGCUCCACAUAUGGUGGUCACUUCGCGACGUUCAAGAGGAGGACCACACUCACUCGAUCUAGCAGCAAGAGAGGACGACUUCUGCAGUCUUGUAGUUUACGCGACCGGGGUGCUGGCCGAAGCAGAAGAAGAGAGGUCGAGUAUCGUCAAAGCGGUGCUGGCCGCCACAGAGUUGAUGAGGUCGAGUACCCACAUGUUGGAGCUGACAUAGAACAAGGCGAAUCGUCUAUGGCCUGGGAGCAAUCACAGGUAGCCAUUGACGACCAACUCCGUUUAUUCUUCGACUGAGGUAAGCGCCUCAUGGAUACCCUGAAAUACUUGGAUUUUCUUAUUCAUUUUAAUCACUCUUGUUAAUCCAAGUAGCUGACUCUCCUUAUUAGAGCAGUUAACCCAAACCCAAACCUAAACUUUCUUUCAAGCCUUAUAUCACUUGUGAGUGUUUGUGAGGUCUUAUUCCGAUUAAGUUUAGUAGAAAGUGUCAGGUUUGUAACGACAGAGAUAGUGUCUCAUGUAGUUCUAGUUUACAUUUUUCGGACUAGAUAGGACUAGGUGAGCGCUUAUACUUUAAGUGGGGAUGUGUCUAAAAAAAAAAAAAAAAAAAAAAAGAGGAGUUGAUUCAUUGAUAAGAAAAGGUAAAAGACUCUAGGUGAAGUAAGCUAAAGGAGCAGAAAAAGUCUAGUAAAGAUUUUGGGAUUUGUAAAGAAAAGAGUUCUUGUUAGCUAAUGAAGAAGGGUAAAAGCCCUCAGUUUUAAAAUUUUAAAAACAGGAACCUUAGUUGUUUAAGAAAUCCAAAUCCGCUAGAUGUAUCAAAGUGUUGAGGAAGGUUCUCCUAGAGUCAAGAGAAAAGAAAAGAAUAAUUAGAAAAAGGGCUUAAAAGAUUCAUGAAUGCAAAGGGUAUAGUUAAGUU
This 1673-nucleotide small RNA is filed under the name Arabidopsis thaliana (thale cress). RNAcentral describes it as "ATSL090120". The record is from RNAcentral. Lineage: Eukaryota; Viridiplantae; Streptophyta; Magnoliopsida; Brassicales; Brassicaceae.